Molecule: ribosomal RNA, 434 nt
Filed under: Opiognathus ocreatus
Lineage: Eukaryota; Metazoa; Arthropoda; Insecta; Hymenoptera; Braconidae
Description: Opius ocreatus partial 16S ribosomal RNA
Source: RNAcentral
GUCUUAAAGAAAUGAAUUUUAAGUNCAAAUCUCGCCCAAUGAAAUAAUUAAAUGGCCUGCAGAAUAAAUAACUGUACAAAGGUAGCAUAAUAAUUUGUUUUUUAAUUAAAAACUAGAAUGAAUGAUUAAAUGAAAUAUAAACUUUAUCAAUUAAAAAUUUUAAAUUUUUAUUUAAGUAAAAAAACUUAAAUUUUUAUAAAAGACGACAAGACCCUAUAGAAUUUUAUUUAUAAAUUAAUUAAAUUAAUUAAUAUUUUAAAUAAAUUUUUUUUAUAAAUUUAAUUGGGGUAAUUAAAAAAUUUAAAAAAUUUUUUUAUAAAUUUAACAAUAAUUAUUGAUUAAUAUAUCUUAAAAUUUAAAUUAAUAAAAUUAAUUACCUUAGGGAUAACAGCAUAAUUUUUUUUAAAAGCAUCAYAUUUGAUARAAACGAUUAU